UAAACUACACAAAUUAUCUUUCAUACAAAGACGGCUAUGUAGCUAGCUAAGAAGAAUUGCUCAGAUCAAACAAAUCAAGCCGUUGUAAUGUAGUGAAGUGUAAUAUUACCUGUGGAGCGAAGCGUGGUGCGACUGCUCGCUCCAAACCGGAAGAUACCAGUAGAGAGGGAUGUAAGUUACACCUCCUUUCUCCUCCCUUUUCCUCUCCUCUCCCCAACCCUCCAUCUCAUACCUCUUUCUCUGAGUGAUACGGGCAGGAACUAAGGCAGCUGAGGGUGUUCCAGCAGCAGACAUGACCAAGAGGACCAGAGACCUGAAGCGGACCAAGCUACGGGACAUGAAUGUGUUUGUGUCCAAGACCCGCUUGUGUAUCCACAACCUGCCCAAGUCUGUAGACAGCAAACAACUAGGACAACUCUGUCUGAGCUCUGCAGGAGCUGGCAAGGGGGUCCUCAUUACCGAGUGCAGGGUGAUGUAUGAUAAGAAGCCAGAGCGGGGUCAGGUGUUAGGCCGGUCGCUAGG
Non-coding RNA from Salmo salar (Atlantic salmon), 522 nucleotides. Lineage: Eukaryota; Metazoa; Chordata; Actinopteri; Salmoniformes; Salmonidae. The record is from RefSeq and is a predicted model, not a curated record.